Molecule: long non-coding RNA, 1297 nt
Organism: Zeugodacus cucurbitae (melon fly)
Lineage: Eukaryota; Metazoa; Arthropoda; Insecta; Diptera; Tephritidae
Exons: 3
Source: RefSeq, a predicted model, not a curated record
UUUCAGAGUUAUAUUUGUUAUUUAAUAAAGAAUUUACAACCGAAAACAUAUUUAUUGGAAACAGCGCUCCCUAACCGAAUUAUCUUGCGAUAUGAAACGUGAACCAUCACACAUAAAUAUUUACCAAUUUCUCUCCACAAAUAUAAACAUACUUCAGUCAUGGUUGACAGCGCUGAGUAUUGAAAGAUGACUUGAAGAAAAACUAUAACAUUAAAACAAACUGAAUCAAAAGCAAUGUAAUCUACACGAUGGGAGAGCAACAAUGGCAUAACAACAGCAGAUUAUAUAUGUAGUACAAUACCUGCAUAUGAGCAUUCAAAUAUAUAUAUGUACAUAUAACGACAGCAAUAACACAAUAGAUGACAAUAAUAACAACUGAGCCCAUAAAGUAUAGUUGAGAAGAAUCGAACCUAAUGAGUUGACCCUAGAAGUGCCUUACAUCCAUCCUCGCCACUUUGCCAACAUCUCAUUGGUGAGACUGAAUGAGGCAACCCUAGAAUGCAACGAUCGCGGCAGACAUCGAGGCGACUUCGCUUUGGUUGAACUCAGCUACGCAGAGCGACUUGCGGGAAAAGUUAAUGAAUGUAUUGAUUGGAACGUAAACAAGUAGACAUUCAUACAUUUGUAUUGGUGGACUCCCAUGCCGGAUUAAUGAAGGUGGGCACAGCGAGCCACAAUCUCAAUGGUAUACGGAAUGCUUGCGUGAGUACACUUGAAAGUGGCCGUACUUGAGAGACGCCAACGGUGCUGGUGUGUUUAAAAAAACGUUGAAUAUCGGAGAGCACAAUGGGAACAACUGACCACCGAAUGGACAGUCAGACAAUAAAAUCAAGAUCAAACUUUUGGGCAAAAUCUAUUAAAGGUAUCACCUCAGUGGCGAGACGCAAGUGCGAAGAGUAUUAAAGCAUAAUGCGCAUGCGUGGAAGAGAGAGACCGGAUAAACAUAAACCAAAGUGUGGAGCAGGGCAUUUUUUCGAAGGCAACAUUUUUGAGUCUAUGUCGAAUUGAGGCGCUCGUUUGCUUUGAUAGCGCUAUCCACGGGGGGUGUUUAAUUCAUAGCGGUCAGAAGCCACUGGAACCAAGCAACAAUGAUUGCGGCCCUAUUCAGCGGCGCAUUUCAAAAUGUUGCUUGAUUUGUUAAGUACAGGGGGGAAGAACAACAAAGCAGCGCUUUCAGAUUGUUUCCUCUUACAUCUGUGCAGUUAUAAAACACCUACAUAUGUAUAUACAUACUUAUGUUUUAAAGAAUUGUAUUUUUCAGUUAAAACAGGAAGCUAUUAAACGUAUGUAUGUCAUG